Molecule: unclassified non-coding RNA, 21 nt
Filed under: Dictyostelium discoideum
Lineage: Eukaryota; Evosea; Eumycetozoa; Dictyosteliales; Dictyosteliaceae
Source: RNAcentral
UACUUAACUCAGAGUGCAAUC